Molecule: ribosomal RNA, 1161 nt
Filed under: uncultured bacterium
Lineage: Bacteria
Description: partial 16S ribosomal RNA
Rfam family: Bacterial small subunit ribosomal RNA
Source: RNAcentral
UGCGAAGUGCAUGCUCAUCGCCGCCAUGGCGGCCGCGGGAAUUCGAUUAGAGUUUGAUCAUGGCUCAGAUUGAACGCUGGCGGCAUGCCUUACACAUGCAAGUCGAACGGCAGCACGGGGGCAACCCUGGUGGCGAGUGGCGAACGGGUGAGUAAUACAUCGGAACGUGUCCUGUAGUGGGGGAUAGCCCGGCGAAAGCCGGAUUAAUACCGCAUACGCUCUACGGAGGAAAGGGGGGGAUCUUAGGACCUCUCGUUAUAGGGGCGGCCGAUGGCAGAUUAGCUAGUUGGUGGGGUAAAGGCCUACCAAGGCGACGAUCUGUAGCUGGUCUGAGAGGACGACCAGCCACACUGGGACUGAGACACGGCCCAGACUCCUACGGGAGGCAGCAGUGGGGAAUUUUGGACAAUGGGCGCAAGCCUGAUCCAGCAAUGCCGCGUGUGUGAAGAAGGCCUUCGGGUUGUAAAGCACUUUUGUCCGGAAAGAAAACCUCUGGGUUAAUACCCCGGGGGGAUGACGGUACCGGAAGAAUAAGCACCGGCUAACUACGUGCCAGCAGCCGCGGUAAUACGUAGGGUGCAAGCGUUAAUCGGAAUUACUGGGCGUAAAGCGUGCGCAGGCGGUUCGCUAAGACAGAUGUGAAAUCCCCGGGCUUAACCUGGGAACUGCAUUUGUGACUGGCGGGCUAGAGUAUGGCAGAGGGGGGUAGAAUUCCACGUGUAGCAGUGAAGUGCGUAGAGAUGUGGAGGAAUACCGAUGGCGAAGGCAGCCCCCUGGGCCAAUACUGACGCUCAUGCACGAAAGCGUGGGGAGCAAACAGGAUUAGAUACCCUGGUAGUCCACGCCCUAAACGAUGUCAACUAGUUGUCGGGUCUUCAUUGACUUGGUAACGUAGCUAACGCGUGAAGUUGACCGCCUGGGGAGUACGGUCGCAAGAUUAAAACUCAAAGGAAUUGACGGGGACCCGCACAAGCGGUGCAUGAUGUGAUUAAUUCGAUGCAACGCGAAAACCUUACCUACCCCUUGACAUGUAUGGAACCCUGCUGAGAGGUGGGGUGCCGAAGGCAGCCAUAACACAGUGCUGCAUGCUGUCGUCAGCUCGUGUCAUUGAAAUGUGAUAGUCCGCACGAGCGCAAUCCAUGUCCUUAGUUGCCUAACGCC